GCGAGAGUGGCGGAAAUGGUAGACGCGCUAGACUUAGGAUCUAGUGUCCUUUGGACGUGGGGGUUCAAGUCCCCCCUCUCGCA
This 83-nucleotide transfer RNA is filed under the name Candidatus Zhuqueibacterota bacterium. RNAcentral describes it as "candidate division KSB1 bacterium (microbial mat metagenome) tRNA-Leu". It matches the Rfam family "tRNA". From Rfam's summary of the family: Transfer RNA (tRNA) molecules are approximately 80 nucleotides in length. Their secondary structure includes four short double-helical elements and three loops (D, anti-codon, and T loops). Lineage: Bacteria; Pseudomonadati. The record is from RNAcentral.